Molecule: ribosomal RNA, 484 nt
Filed under: uncultured bacterium
Lineage: Bacteria
Description: partial 16S ribosomal RNA
Rfam family: Bacterial small subunit ribosomal RNA
Source: RNAcentral
GAUGAACGCUGGCGGCGUGCUUAACACAUGCAAGUCGAACGGUGAAGCAGGAGCUUGCUCUUGUGGAUCAGUGGCGAACGGGUGAGUAACACGCGAGCAACCUGCCCCUGACUCUGGGAUAAGCGCUGGAAACGGCGUCUAAUACUGGAUAUGUGAUGUGACCGCAUGGUCUGCAUCUGGAAAGAAUUUCGGUUGGGGAUGGGCUCGCGGCCUAUCAGCUUGUUGGUGAGGUAAUGGCUCACCAAGGCGUCGACGGUUAGCCGGCCUGAGAGGGUGACCGGCCACACUGGGACUGGGACACGGCCCAGACUCCUACGGGAGGCAACAGUGGGGAAUAUUGCACAAUGGGCGGAAGCCUGAUGCGGCAACGCCGCGUGAGGGAUGACGGCCUUCGGGUUGUAAACCUCUUUUAGCAGGGAAGAAGCGAAAGUGACGGUACCUGCAGAAAAAGCACCGGCUAACUACGUGCCAGCCGCCGCAGUAA